GGGCCCGUGGCUCAGGGGAUACGGCACCGGCCUUCGGAGCCGGGUUUCCCGGGUUCGAAUCCCGGCGGGCCCGCCA
This 76-nucleotide transfer RNA is filed under the name Palaeococcus helgesonii. Its description in RNAcentral is "tRNA-Arg". It matches the Rfam family "tRNA". From Rfam's summary of the family: Transfer RNA (tRNA) molecules are approximately 80 nucleotides in length. Their secondary structure includes four short double-helical elements and three loops (D, anti-codon, and T loops). The record is from RNAcentral. Lineage: Archaea; Methanobacteriati; Methanobacteriota; Thermococci; Thermococcales; Thermococcaceae. RNAcentral also lists the same sequence under 3 other names.